CAGAACAUAGCUUAAAUAAAGCAUUUCGCUUACACCAAAUUGACGUCUGUUAACCCGGACUGUUCUGAG
RNAcentral lists this transfer RNA (69 nucleotides) under Pristimantis diadematus. RNAcentral's name for it is "tRNA-Val". It matches the Rfam family "tRNA". Rfam says of the family: Transfer RNA (tRNA) molecules are approximately 80 nucleotides in length. Lineage: Eukaryota; Metazoa; Chordata; Amphibia; Anura; Strabomantidae. The record is from RNAcentral.